RNAcentral lists this long non-coding RNA (1235 nucleotides) under Ricinus communis (castor bean). RNAcentral's name for it is "long non-coding RNA (RCOM_LNC002884)". The record is from RNAcentral. Lineage: Eukaryota; Viridiplantae; Streptophyta; Magnoliopsida; Malpighiales; Euphorbiaceae.
GAUAUGGUCUUGUACAAGAGGGAAAGCAGGAAAAAAAAAGGGAUGGUCUUGGCUAAAAAUUUAUAUAUUUCUAAGGAGAAAUGAUAUCUUCAUAUAUAUAAUAAUUUUGAAAGCACUAAAAGAAUAAAAAUAAAUUCACUUUGUAAUAAUGCUUUACAUAUUACUAUUGGGAAUAAUUUUUCUUCUGGGGGACCUUCUCCAAUUAUGCCUUUUUGGAAGGGAAAAAGACUGUGCAUAAAAAGAAUAUAUAGAGCUUUUUGAGGAAUAUUAGGCUGGUGGUUGAAUUAAUUAUCAUGAAACAAUAGUGGGAAUGUAAUCUUCCCAUCCCUUAUACUUAUGUUCAGCUUAAAUAUUAAAUAAAAUGACUUUAGAUUUAUGAAAUAAGGUCAGUUUCAUAUGUUAAAAAAAAUUUAAGGUAUUAAAAUAAUGAGUCUGGUCAAGGUACUAAUGUAUCUUCUACUAGGAUUAGAUGAGGUAUCAAAGUACCUCUUCUUUAAUAUUUCUUUGCUAUUUUAAUAACAAGUUCAUUUGUGUUCAGUCUUUUUUUUUCUUCAUAAUUGCAGGUUUUAAUAACAUGGAUUUAAGAAUCCUAAGUGAUUCAUUUAAAACUCCUCUUAGAAUUAAUUAGGAUUAUUAUUUGUGUUAUUUGAUUUAAGGCUUUUAAAAGCCAGGGUUGUAAUUAAUUCCUCUUAGGCGCCCUCUCAUCCUUAAUCUCUUUCUAGUUAUGCUCUAUUCUUUUUUUCCUCAUUUUCUUUACAUGGUUUAAUUUCCCGCAUUAGGUUUUCACCUCACAUGCUUAAACAACUAAAAUCAAUUUAGCAUUUUGUAUGUGGUAGGCUCCAAUGCUCAAUUUGAAGCAAGUUAAAUUUAUUAGUGUAAUCUUGCUAUCCCUUAUGCUUAUGUUGAGCUCAAAUACUAAAUAAAAUGACUUUUAGAUUUAUGAAAUAAAAUUAGACAUUAAUUUGGUUAGUAUCACAUAUUAAGAAAAACUUAAGGUAUUAAAGUAUCUCCCCUAGGACUAGAUAAGGUACCAAUAUAUCUUUCUAAUGAGUCUAAUCAAGGUACUAAUAUAUCUUUUGCUAGGAUUAGAUGAGGUAUUAAAGUACAUCUUCUUUAAUAUUUCUUUGCUCUUUUUAAUUACAAGUUUCUUUGUGUUUAAUCUUUUUACUAACUUUAUUUUCUUAUAGUUGCAGGUUUUGAUAGUAUGGAUUUAGAAAUCCUAAGUGAUUCAUUUA